ACGAACGCUGGCGGCGUGCUUAACACAUGCAAGUCGAGCGGUAAGGCCCUUUCGGGGGUACGACGAGCGGCGAACGGGUGAGUAACACGUGGGUGACCUGCCCUCAGCUCUGGGAUAAGCCUGGGAAACCGGGUCUAAUACUGGAUAUGACUCCAUGGCGCAUGUUGUGGGGUGGAAAGCCUUGUGCGGCUGAGGAUGGGCCCGCGGCCUAUCAGCUUGUUGGUGGGGCGANGGCCUACCAAGGCGACGACGGGUAGCCGGCCUGAGAGGGCGACCGGCCACACUGGGACUGAGACACGGCCCAGACUCCUACGGGAGGCAGCAGUGGGGAAUCUUGCGCAAUGGGCGAAAGCCUGACGCAGCGACGCCGCGUGAGGGAUGACGGCCU
Molecule: ribosomal RNA, 388 nt
Filed under: uncultured bacterium
Lineage: Bacteria
Description: bacterial SSU rRNA
Rfam family: Bacterial small subunit ribosomal RNA
Source: RNAcentral